AUGGCGCAAACCUCACCUAUUCCCCGCGUCAGCCUCGGCACCCAAGGACUGGAGGUGUCCAAGCUGGGGUUCGGGUGCAUGGGCCUCACAGGCUCCUACAACUCCCCGGUCGAGGACGACGCCGGCGUCGCCGUCAUCACGCACGCCUUCAACCGCGGCGUCACCUUCUUCGACACCUCCGACGUCUACGGGCCCCACGCCAACGAGAUCCUCCUCGGCAAGGCGCUGAAGCAGCUGCCGCGGGAGCAGGUGCAGGUGGCCACCAAGUUUGGGAUUCAGCGGGAUGCCCAGGGCAAGAGCACCAUCUGCGGCCGCCCGGAGUACGUGCGCGCCUGCUGCGAGGCCAGCCUGCACCGCCUCGGCGUCCACCACAUCGACCUCUACUACCAGCACCGCAUCGACACCACCAUCCCCAUCGAGGACACGAUUGGUGAGCUCAAGAAGCUUGUGGAGGAGGGGAAGGUCAAGUACAUUGGGUUAUCGGAGGCGAGCCCGGACACCAUCAGGCGUGCUCACGCCGUGCACCCCAUCUCCUCCGUGCAGAUGGAGUGGUCUCUGUGGGCUCGCGACAUCGAGCCCGAGAUCGUGCCUCUCUGCAGAGAGCUAGGGAUUGGAAUUGUUCCCUACAGCCCGAUUGCUCGUGGGUUUUUCGGUGGAAGGGGAGUGACACAACAAGUGUCUGCUGAAUCUAGUCUGAAAGGCCAUCCACGUUUUUCGGCUGAAAACCUGGAGAAGAACAAGCAACUUUAUCUGAAAAUAGAAGAACUGGCCAAGAAGCACCAGUGCAGCCCUGCUCAGCUAGCUUUAUCUUGGGUUCUGCAUCAAGGGGAUGAUGUGGUUCCGAUACCAGGGACUACUAAGAUAAAGAAUCUAGACUCCAACAUUGACUCCUUGAAGGUGAGGCUCACGGAAGAUGACCUCAAAGAGAUCAGCAACGAGAUACGCGAAGAAGAUGUUGCGGGUGGAAGGCAAUAUACUUCAUUUGCGAAAUUCACCUGGAAUUAUGCGGAUACGCCAAAGAAGUGA
Molecule: ribosomal RNA, 1026 nt
Filed under: Triticum aestivum (bread wheat)
Lineage: Eukaryota; Viridiplantae; Streptophyta; Magnoliopsida; Poales; Poaceae
Description: partial small subunit ribosomal RNA
Source: RNAcentral